UUUUAUUAUUAAUGAAAAACCAAAUACAAAUCCAGUACAAGGCCCAUAAUUACACAAUACACAAAAUAAAUUUUGUUUGAGUCCGGCCAAUUUCUAAAACCCUACCACAAUAAAAAGACUCCACUAUCCAAAAAUGAGUGUACUUUCCAUUUCCACCUUCCUCUUCCAUGCUGCCGCUUUGUUGUUGGUGGAACUCUUUAUUGAAGGAUCUACUGUCGUGGGUCAUUUGUGCUCCCAUUCCCUUAAUUAUACAGCUUCUUCUUCUAGCACAAUGUAUGUCUUUUUAACCAAGGUGGAUGGGGUUGUGGAGGUUGUGAAAGUAGUCUGAUGAGGAGGAAUCUAUCCGAAGGUGCUCCCAGAGGUAUUCCUUUUCCUUCUUUUCUAAUUUUCUCACAAAAAACCAUCCUGAAAGAAAUACCCAUUUGACAAGUUUGUUGCUGUAUCAACACUUGUGUUUGAUGUUGCCUUUUUGUAUUUAUUGCUCAGGCUGAUGUCUUUCCCCUUUAUUUGUAGUGAUGUAUUUUGUGCUAACUUAGAUUAGCAAUCUGAUUAGAGGAUGUAUAUCCUAGAUUUAGCAGCACUUGAUGUAAAUAUUGUAGUUUCUUAGAAUCUGCACCCUUAGGUGUUUUGUCUUUGUUGCCCAAACUCUGCAUAUAGCUUGAUGUAUUAAGAUCUUAUCCUUAAUGAUGG
This is a long non-coding RNA of Capsicum annuum, 690 nucleotides long. RefSeq lists it as uncharacterized. The transcript is spliced from 2 exons. The record is from RefSeq and is a predicted model, not a curated record. NCBI's taxonomy places the organism in Eukaryota, Viridiplantae, Streptophyta, Magnoliopsida, Solanales, Solanaceae.